UGCAUGAGUUUGGAAACACGGCCCUGGGGCAGGAGAUAGUAGCCUGGGGCUCAGCUGCAGAAAGUUUUGCUGGAGGUUCUAAAUCACAUUCACCGGGCUGGCCUGGGGCUCUUCCUCCUAGGCCACCCUGAUGCAGCUUCCCCACCAGAAAGGAAAACAGCAAAUUCUCUGGGAGGUCGGACCUCCCACCUGCCCCCUCGUGUGGGGGUCUGCUGUGGGCAUUUGCCAACUUCCUGUAAACUGUGCCCUUGUUUUCCUCUGGGGAACCCGCCCCGGGUCCCAGGUGGUUCCAGAUCCUUCUGCCCCUUCUACAAAUGCCCGAACGUCUCUUCUGUGCCAGGCACUGGGGGUGCAGCAGUAAAAACAUGGGUGUGGCUACUGCCCUGACAGGAGCUCGCCUGAUCAGGAACACAAGCAAAGAAAUCACCGAGUUCCAAAUUUGUGAAGGAAACAAACAGCCUCGGUGCCUGCAACCCCAGUCCCAGGAAAGGAUUUCCUCAGUCGGGGAGGCUCUGAAGACACUCAGAAGAUGCUUACAAAUGUGCACCUGACAAGGUACUGUCACAGAUGUCACUUGAGAAACAUUCAAAGGAGGCCACCAAACCACUUAUCCCUGAGGAAACAAUAGACAGCUGUCACAUGGAAGAAUGCACGGACUUACAGGCAAAGAAAGAAAUGCAGACAAAACCCCUCUCCAUUUUGAUCAAAUUAGGAAACAACUAUAAAAUGAUAAAACCCAGUGCUGACAGGGAUGUGGAGAAAAUGACACAUUGGCUUUGCUGUAAACACAUUCUGAUUUGAAAAGUCAAUCUCCGUGCCAGAAAUAAGUGCUGUAAAACUGCACAGGCCUUCUGACCCAGCAUUUGGUCCUCAGGUACAAAAACAUUUAUAGUUGCCUUAUUUAAAAGUGGGGGGUGGAAAAAACAAAGACCAAAAGCCCCGGAUGCCCUGGGCUAACAUUUGUGGGGUGCUCACACUAUUUGAAAUGCUGAACGUGUUAUUUCUUCUUUAAUCCUUGGAGAGUUGUGUGUUUUAUUAGCCCCCAUAUCACAGAUGAAGACCUGGGAGCACACAGAGUCCGGCCCCGUCUCCGUGGUCACUCAGGCGGUCAGCAGCAGAGCUGAGGUUUGAGCCCAGGCUUCCCCGCCUGCAACCUGCGGGGGGGGGGGGGCACUCCACACCGCUGUUCUAUAGCACGAAGGCGGAAUUGUCCACCAAAGAGAAGGUGACAUGCCACUCCUUGGGGGUGCGCUGUCACCAGGAUGUGACUGGAAGAAAAAAAGGGCUUCUUUCUGCUUCUGCCUGGUGAUAAAUAUAAGCCCGCUGCCUGGCAGGCAUGCCCCAGCCUGUGGUUCUGGAAUGUGGGCAAGCCACCCACCUGGAGACCUGCCGUUGGUAGCUGGUCUUGAGGCAGCCAGUCCCAGCCCACAGACCUGGCCAGCAAACCCACUGUGUGUUUGGUCAAGCCAGCACCUUCACGCCGCCUUCAUGGGAGUCGAGCCGUUGAGCUGAUGCCUAGAACCUCUCAGGGUUGCCCCUGGGCAGAAACGCCAGCAGCCUCGUGGUUGGAGGUGCUGGAUGGAUGGUGACGGUCUAGGCAACUCUGGCUUCAAGGAGAUCACGACAUUUUGGAGAUGAACGUGGCACAGGGCAGAGCUUGGAGAUCCUCUGCCUCCUGAGCAGGCGAUGGGAGGAGACACAGCCUGGUGGCAGGUUCGAGGCUGGUGUGAGUGUUGACAUGCCUCAAACUCUCAGGGAACCGUGGCUCCUGUUCUUGGGGCCCGGCCUCCCAUCUCUAAAGAACGGGGCCAGCGCAGAUGGGUAAACGUGGGACCCCGGCUGCUGCGGGGUGGGCAGGGGUCUCAGGGAGGAAGCCCUUCCCUUUCGACGGCUUUUCUGUCCUUCUCAGUUCGGCUUGACUCUCGGCGCGUCUCCAUGGCUGGCCGGCCCUUCCGAUCCCCCUUCACGUCAGAGCGUGAGCAGCCUCAGGCUCAGGGCCAUGGGCAGGCAGCAGGACUUACUACGUGGUUUCUCUUCCCUGUGCUCAUUUUCAGGGCUAUCUUCUAUUAGUGGCAGGUGAUACUUGUU
Callorhinus ursinus (northern fur seal) is the source of this 2088-nucleotide long non-coding RNA. RefSeq lists it as uncharacterized. NCBI's taxonomy places the organism in Eukaryota, Metazoa, Chordata, Mammalia, Carnivora, Otariidae. The record is from RefSeq and is a predicted model, not a curated record.